GGGCCUAUAGCUCAAUGGCGGAGCAGGGCGCUCAUAACGCCUCGGAUGUUGGUUCGAAUCCAACUGGGCCCA
RNAcentral lists this transfer RNA (72 nucleotides) under Cyanobacteriota bacterium. RNAcentral's name for it is "Cyanobacteria bacterium (drinking water metagenome) tRNA-Ile". It matches the Rfam family "tRNA". Rfam says of the family: Transfer RNA (tRNA) molecules are approximately 80 nucleotides in length. Their secondary structure includes four short double-helical elements and three loops (D, anti-codon, and T loops). Further hydrogen bonds mediate the characteristic L-shaped molecular structure. tRNAs have two regions of fundamental functional importance: the anti-codon, which is responsible for specific mRNA codon recognition, and the 3' end, to which the tRNAs corresponding amino acid is attached (by aminoacyl-tRNA synthetases). tRNAs cope with the degeneracy of the genetic code in two manners: having more than one tRNA (with a specific anti-codon) for a particular amino acid; and 'wobble' base-pairing, i.e. permitting non-standard base-pairing at the 3rd anti-codon position. The record is from RNAcentral. Lineage: Bacteria; Bacillati; Cyanobacteriota.